Ochotona curzoniae (black-lipped pika) is the source of this 119-nucleotide non-coding RNA. NCBI's taxonomy places the organism in Eukaryota, Metazoa, Chordata, Mammalia, Lagomorpha, Ochotonidae. The record is from RefSeq and is a predicted model, not a curated record.
AAGAUUUCUUUGUCAUUGUGCCUUUCAAACAAAAAAAUACAUCUUUGAAAACAAAACAGAUGACUCCUGCCGAUAGUCUAUAUAGUCAUUGUUUUUUCUGUGCAAUGGCUCCAUAUACA